Molecule: long non-coding RNA, 2161 nt
Organism: Columba livia (rock pigeon)
Lineage: Eukaryota; Metazoa; Chordata; Aves; Columbiformes; Columbidae
Exons: 3
Source: RefSeq, a predicted model, not a curated record
GAGGCUGCGGGGGGAGGGGGAUAUCCUUGCCUGGAUUUCGAGCACCGCCCGUGGCAAACGGAGUGAGGCACCGGGCGGAGCAGCACGGCGGGUUGCGGGGUCGCCGUUGUGGGGCUGACGGUGGCCGGGGGCCGGUCUCGCCGUGCCAGGGCCCGGGCGGGGCCGGGUUGGGCCGGGCCGGACGGGCACCGGGUGCCUCCAGUGGGGGCCAGCGGGGGCCGCGCCGCAGAGGGGGCCGCCAUCCCCGCUCCGCUCUCCUCGGCGGGCGGCUCAGCGGGGGCGGCGGCGACAAGCGCUUCGCGGCGGCCCCAGCAGAAGAGAGGAGGGGAGCGACGCGUCCGAAAAAACAGGUGGAUCCCUACUCGGCCUCGGCUCAUGCUUGUCUUGGAAGCUGUGGAGCGCAGGGAGAAGCUGGUCGUUUAAUCUACAAGAAGGACAGAUACUCGAAAAGCUACGAAAAGAGAAUAUAUUUAGUAUUAUUUUCUCUACAGCAGGGUGAGACGGAUCAUAUCACCACGGACAGAGUAUUGGAAAAGAACAUAGCUGGGAAAAUCACCUUUAACAGAGCAAAAAUAUUUCUCCUCCGUCCCAACAUCCCAAGCAGAAAUGUAUGUAUGUGUACCGGCUAGUUUUGAUGCUAAAUGUCUCGGGUGGUGGGACCUCUUGCACCCCUCCGCCCCUUCCAAAGAAGAAUAAGAAUGAAAGUGACUUGUGGAGCUUCUUCAGCUGCAUCCUUGAGCUGGGGCAGCCGGGCAGGGCAAAGCUGGAGGGAGGAGCGAAAUGCACCCAUCUCUCCGAGCACCGGUGGCAAUGAGCAGUCCCGCCGGUCGAUCACGGGAAUAACCCCGUUGUGGGUCCUUGGAGUGGGCAGGGCAGCGCGGAGCAUCUGCGUGCGUGUGUGUGUUUGUGUGUGUCUGCGUGGCUGCGUACCCACGAGUACCAGCGGGACCGCGGCUCUGCGGCGUCCCACGCACGAUCCUUACCCUCCGUGUUCCCUGUCCAUCCUCCCCGCCGCUCUCUAAUGUCCCUUUCCCGGCGAAGGCGACUUGCUCCUGCAGACAGUUUGCCCUUCAUGUGAGUAGUCAGUGAACCCACAAGGAGCCGUUUUCAUUACUCCCACCAGUGUCACACCUUCACGAGCUGAUGGAGACUUUUGUUCAACCCGGAAUAACUAGCACUCACAUAGGGUAAUACAAACGCCCGAUUCACGGGGCAGCUGGAAUAAGGACCAGGAUGUGGGCUGUGCUCUACUCUCGAAUUUGUGCUGAAGACACAGUUCUGCAAUUAUUAUAUUAUGUUAUGUUAUUUUCAGAGCAGAGCGCAGGGGCUACUUCAGAUGACUAAAUUCGUCUUCUGCAGAGAUCGCCCAAAAAAAACUCUCUUUCCCAACUCAUGUUUAAAGGCAGAGACUGACACAUCUAGAAGGGCAAACUGAAGAAGGGAAAUCGUAGUAGCAGGAAGGGUCACUUAUAGGAGUGAGAUACAUGCAUAUUCUCGCACUCAGGUGUACUAGCCAAUAUGCUUAUACACUCACAGCUGUGUUUGUAGAUGACGGGGAGUGUGCGUGUUUGAAAAGAUUUUUAAUGAAGAAGCGUUUCCAGGGCAGUGCUCCAGUUUCAACUCUACAAGCAAGACUUUCCGCCCAGAAGUCACUCCGCAUCCCUUUCCUUUCCCUCGGCUGUCAGAGCAAAGAACCGCCCCGGCGAGACGGAGAAAAACCUGCAUCUAUAGGCUCGUCUUAGUCUGUAAUCUUGCGUGUUACGCGGCGGCGGGCGGGACGCGGGACCGCGCAGUUGCCGGCAGUUCCGCUGCUGCGCAGGGCCCGGCCGCCCUGCUCUCCGCGGCUCCCCGCGCAAGGCUCGGCUGCCAUGCCCCGCUCUCCGCGACUCCCCGCUCAGGGCAGGUGAUGCGGGGAACGCGGCGCGCUCCCGGCGGGUUCCCAGCCCCGCAGCCGUGGGGACCGCGGCCACCAAAAUGUGUACCCUGCACACAUCGGCACUAUCUCUUUUUGAUAAAGUGGAUAUCUGAUUAAUGCCGACCCACGCCCCCCCAAGUCCUACUCCCCCUCCCCUUUUCUCCUCCCCUCCCGCCCCAUCCUCCCAACGUUCUUCGCUGCUUUCAAUAAAAGGCAGGAUCUAAGCUUUCUCCCCUUCAAAUCAAA